UCCUGGUUAGCUCAGUUGGUAGAGCGCUCCAUUGACAAUGGAGAGAUCUCUGAUUCAAUACCAGGACCAGGCA
Molecule: non-coding RNA, 73 nt
Organism: Ixodes scapularis (black-legged tick)
Lineage: Eukaryota; Metazoa; Arthropoda; Arachnida; Ixodida; Ixodidae
Source: Rfam